RNAcentral lists this ribosomal RNA (257 nucleotides) under uncultured prokaryote. RNAcentral describes it as "partial 16S ribosomal RNA". It matches the Rfam family "Bacterial small subunit ribosomal RNA", at positions 521 to 777 of the family's 1533-position model. The record is from RNAcentral.
UAAUACGAAGGGGGCUAGCGUUGCUCGGAAUCACUGGGCGUAAAGGGCGCGUAGGCGGCCAUUCAAGUCGGGGGUGAAAGCCUGUGGCUCAACCACAGAAUUGCCUUCGAUACUGUUUGGCUUGAGUUUGGUAGAGGUUGGUGGAACUGCGAGUGUAGAGGUGAAAUUCGUAGAUAUUCGCAAGAACACCAGUGGCGAAGGCGGCCAACUGGACCAACACUGACGCUGAGGCGCGAAAGCGUGGGGAGCAAACAGGA